GCUGGCACAGUGGCACAAGGCUGUAUAGUCCCAGCUGCCAGGUAGACUGAGACAGAAAGAUCACUUGAGUCCAGGAGUUGUGGGCUUUUGUGCACUAUGCUGAUCAGGUGUCCACACUAAGUUCAGCAUCAAUAUGGCAACCUCCUGGGAACGGAGGACCACUGGGCUGCCUAAGGAGGGAUGAGCCAGCCCAGUGGGAAAUGCAGCAGGUCAAGACUUCCGUGCUGAUCAGUAGUGGGAUCACAUCUGUGAAUAAGCACUGCACUCAAGCCUGGGCAACAUAGUGAGACCCCGUUGUUU
Pongo abelii (Sumatran orangutan) is the source of this 300-nucleotide unclassified non-coding RNA. It matches the Rfam family "Metazoan signal recognition particle RNA". Rfam says of the family: The signal recognition particle (SRP) is a universally conserved ribonucleoprotein. It is involved in the co-translational targeting of proteins to membranes. The eukaryotic SRP consists of a 300-nucleotide 7S RNA and six proteins: SRPs 72, 68, 54, 19, 14, and 9. The record is from Ensembl. Lineage: Eukaryota; Metazoa; Chordata; Mammalia; Primates; Hominidae.